AUGUGUGCUGUGCAGGGCCAGGGAGCCACCUGCGAAGAGACAAUCGCCAUGAGCUCGCUCUGCCCGUUCGCCAAAGCCACCACCGGCGGCGUGUGCCCCAUGAAAUCCGACAAGAAGCCCGACAAGAGCGGUGGCGGCGCUGCGUGCCCCGUGACGGGCAAGAGCCAUGGCAGCGAGAACAAGGAGAGCGGCGCGGACCGUGCCGCCGGAGAAGAUGGCGCGGAGGACCCCCGCGUGGUGCCCGCAAAGUGCCCCUUCGGCUACGACUCCAACACCUUCAAGCUCGGCCCGCUCAGCUGCAUGGUCUGCCAGGCCCUGCUCCACGACGCCAGCAAAUGCAAGCCGUGCUCCCAUAAGUUCUGCAAGGCGUGCAUAUCGCGCUUUAAGGACUGCCCGUUGUGCGGUGCUGACAUAGAGGGGAUCGAGCCGGAUGCCGAGCUCCAGGCCCUUGUCGAUCGCUUCAUUGACGGCCAUGCCCGAAUCAAGAGAUCGCUUGCUGGAGGGGAUGACCAAGCAGCGGGUGGCAAGAGCAAAGUGAUAUACGAGGAUGUCUCCAUGGAGAGAGGUGCUUUUCUAGUGCAACAAGCCAUGAGGGCCUUUCGCGCACAGAACAUUGAAAGCGCAAAGUCGAGGCUCAGUAUGUGUGCAGAAGACAUCAGGGAGGAGUUGAAAUCUUCAGAAGAUAACCUAGACCUGUGUUCUCAGCUUGGGGCAGUGUUGGGAAUGCUUGGGGAUUGCUGUCGGACCUUGGGAGAUGCGCCUUCAGCGAUCACUUACUAUGAAGAAAGUGCUGAGCUUCUGUCAAAAUUGCCCAAAAAGGACCUUGAGUUGGUCCAUACGCUCUCAGUUUCUCUUAACAAAGUUGGAGACCUUCGCUACUAUGGCGGGGACCUGCAAUCCGCAAGAAGUUAUUAUGCCCGUUCAUUAGAUGUUCGCAGAAAUUCAGUAAAGGAACAUUCAGCUGUGGCCUCCCAGGUCAUUGAUCUAGCAACCUCUCUAGCCAAAGUUGCGGAUGUCGAUAGAAACCUCGGCAACGAAGAUGCGGCUGUCGAGGGUUUUGAGGAAGCAAUCAAGUGCCUGGAGAAAUUGAAGCUUGAUUCUGAGCAAGCUAGCCUAGAACAACGGCGUCGCUCGGUUCUCGACUUCCUGCAGAAGCAAUUGCACGACAAGUAA
This 1173-nucleotide ribosomal RNA is filed under the name Triticum aestivum (bread wheat). RNAcentral describes it as "partial small subunit ribosomal RNA". The record is from RNAcentral. Lineage: Eukaryota; Viridiplantae; Streptophyta; Magnoliopsida; Poales; Poaceae.